This 253-nucleotide ribosomal RNA is filed under the name uncultured bacterium. Its description in RNAcentral is "partial 16S ribosomal RNA". It matches the Rfam family "Bacterial small subunit ribosomal RNA", at positions 524 to 776 of the family's 1533-position model. The record is from RNAcentral.
UACGUAGGGGGCAAGCGUUAUCCGGAAUUACUGGGUGUAAAGGGUGAGUAGGCGGCAUGGUAAGCCAGAUGUGAAAGCCUUGGGCUUAACCCGAGGAUUGCAUUUGGAACUAUCAAGCUAGAGUACAGGAGAGGAAAGCGGAAUUCCUAGUGUAGCGGUGAAAUGCGUAGAUAUUAGGAAGAACACCAGUGGCGAAGGCGGCUUUCUGGACUGAAACUGACGCUGAGGCACGAAAGCGUGGGGGGCGAACAGG